GCGGUGCUUGUUGAAGUAGGCGCCUAUAAUCGCCAAAAUUUGAGGGUGUAUCAUCCCCAAACCAGCACCUGAAGAUAGGAUUUUUUUUAAUAUGUUAUAUUUGAAUUGACAAAUAACAGCAACUAAACUGUUUUAAUGAAAUCGAUGCCAGAUAUCUCGCUUAAAACAGAUGGAGCGACACCCUAGCCCACAGUUACCUGCCAGAACUACCCAAGCCCAGCCUCUGUCGAUGGGCAGAUCUUGAUCCCCCGUCACAUCACUCGCAUCUGGCUCUUGGACGUUCAGCUUACUAGCGUCUUUCUCCAUAUCAUGAGAGUCUACCGUAGUAUCAUCGUCCUUCUGAAUAACUUUAUCCUUCAUUUUCGUAUGUGUCUUUCACAUUAUGCUAUGUACUGGUUGCUAUAUUGAGUCUUUCUGCGUAAACGAUCCAAACACUAAUGUUGCCCAUAUAUAAUCCGCCUGGUUUA
This is a long non-coding RNA of Dreissena polymorpha, 467 nucleotides long. RefSeq lists it as uncharacterized. The record is from RefSeq and is a predicted model, not a curated record. The transcript has 2 exons. Lineage: Eukaryota; Metazoa; Mollusca; Bivalvia; Myida; Dreissenidae.